Molecule: ribosomal RNA, 253 nt
Filed under: uncultured bacterium
Lineage: Bacteria
Description: partial 16S ribosomal RNA
Rfam family: Bacterial small subunit ribosomal RNA
Source: RNAcentral
UACGUAGGGGGCAAGCGUUAUCCGGAUUUACUGGGUGUAAAGGGAGCGUAGGCGGCGCGUUAAGUCUGAUGUGAAAACCCGAGGCUCAACCACGGGAGUGCAUUGGAAACUGGCGGGCUGGAGUGCCGGAGAGGUAAGCGGAAUUCCUAGUGUAGCGGUGAAAUGCGUAGAUAUUAGGAGGAACACCAGUGGCGAAGGCGGCUUACUGGACGGCAACUGACGCUGAGGCUCGAAGGCGUGGGGAGCAAACAGG